GGUGAGUUGCCCGAGCGGCCUAAGGGGACGGUCUUGAAAACCGUUGUACAGCAAUGUACCGAGGGUUCGAAUCCCUCACUCACCGCCA
Molecule: transfer RNA, 88 nt
Filed under: Cellulomonadaceae bacterium
Lineage: Bacteria; Bacillati; Actinomycetota; Actinomycetes; Micrococcales; Cellulomonadaceae
Description: tRNA-Ser
Rfam family: tRNA
About the family: Transfer RNA (tRNA) molecules are approximately 80 nucleotides in length. Their secondary structure includes four short double-helical elements and three loops (D, anti-codon, and T loops).
Source: RNAcentral